AGUUUUAUAUUCAAUAUAGAUGAUUUUAAAUUGCAAAUUUAAAGGAGUAAAAAUUUUUUACUAAAACUU
RNAcentral lists this transfer RNA (69 nucleotides) under Brachycentrus maculatus. Its description in RNAcentral is "tRNA-Cys". The record is from RNAcentral. Lineage: Eukaryota; Metazoa; Arthropoda; Insecta; Trichoptera; Brachycentridae.